RNAcentral lists this ribosomal RNA (471 nucleotides) under uncultured bacterium. RNAcentral's name for it is "bacterial SSU rRNA". It matches the Rfam family "Bacterial small subunit ribosomal RNA", at positions 43 to 524 of the family's 1533-position model. The record is from RNAcentral.
CAGGCCUAACACAUGCAAGUCGAACGGUGGGUAACCACAGUGGCAAACGGGUGCGUAACGCGUAAGCAACCUGCCUCAAACUGGGGGAUAGCCCGGCGAAAGCUGGGGUAAACCCGCACGGUCCCAAGAGGUCACCUGGUUUUUUGGGUAAACAUUUAUGGGUUUGAGAGGGGCUUGCGUCUGAUUAGUUAGUUGGCAGGGUAACGGCCUACCAAGGCGAUGAUCAGUAGGGGUUCUGAGAGGAUUGGCCCCCACAUGGGUACUGAGAUACGGACCCAACUCCUACGGGAGGCAGCAGUAGGGAAUAUUGGGCAAUGGGCGCAAGCCUGACCCAGCCAUGCCGCGUGGAGGAUGAAGGCGCUCAGCGUUGUAAACUUCUUUUAUCGGUGAAGAACGUACUCUAUGCGUAGGGUAGUGACGGUAGCGCGAGGAAUAAGCACCGGCUAACUCCGUGCCAGCAGCCGCGGUAAU